RNAcentral lists this long non-coding RNA (355 nucleotides) under Homo sapiens (human). Its description in RNAcentral is "non-protein coding lnc-NUDT12-4:1". The record is from RNAcentral. Lineage: Eukaryota; Metazoa; Chordata; Mammalia; Primates; Hominidae.
AUACAUGAAGAAAUUGCUAUUAAACUGAAUACUUUGUGUUGACCCUAGGCUUAGUUUCAUUUCCAGAAUCAGGGAAUCAGAUAUUUAUGUUAAAAGAUUAUGUUAAUUCUCCCAAUAGAAAGCUAAUUUUAUAUUCAGGAAAAAAGUACACAAGGUGGUGUUGGAGCUUCUUGUAGCGCUAGAAAGUAGUAAGGAAUUGCUAAAACACAUAAAAGGUAUAUAUCAUCCACCUGAUGGUUUUGAUGCUGGGCAAGUGAGCCCCCAAACAGGGGCUUAGCCUGGAAGGGUUUUUAGAUUCACCUAGGAAAGAAUUCAAGGGUGAGCUGGUAUGUUAGACAGCAAUUUUUAUUGAGGU